AUUGAACGCUGGCGGCAUGCCUUACACAUGCAAGUCGAACGGCAGCACGGGUGCUUGCACCUGGUGGCGAGUGGCGAACGGGUGAGUAAUAUAUCGGAACGUGCCCUAGAGUGGGGGAUAACGUAGCGAAAGUUACGCUAAUACCGCAUACGAUCUACGGAUGAAAGUGGGGGAUCGCAAGACCUCAUGCUCCUGGAGCGGCCGAUAUCUGAUUAGCUAGUUGGUGGGGUAAAAGCCUACCAAGGCGACGAUCAGUAGCUGGUCUGAGAGGACGACCAGCCACACUGGGACUGAUACACGGCCCAGACGCCUACGGGAGGCAGCAGUGGGGAAUUUUGGACAAUGGGGGAAACCCUGAUUCAGCAAUGCCGCGUGUGUGAAGAAGGCCUUCGGGUUGUAAAGCACUUUUGUCAGGAACGAAACGGUGGGGGCUAAUAUCUCCUGCUAAUGACGGUACCUGAAGAAUAAGCACCGGCUAACUACGUGCCAGCAGCCGCCGUAA
Molecule: ribosomal RNA, 502 nt
Filed under: uncultured bacterium
Lineage: Bacteria
Description: partial 16S ribosomal RNA
Rfam family: Bacterial small subunit ribosomal RNA
Source: RNAcentral